GGCGGGCCUUCGCGGACGCGCUCGCCUUCUCCGAGCACUGGGCGGGAGGCCAGCCCCCAGCUUCUAGCCUACCAGCCCGGCCUCCUCCGCGGUUGUAACUCUGCAGCGCAAGUGCGUCUUGGAAAGCCUAGGACCAGUCAGUGGACCACCUAAGGAUCCCGUCCUUCCUCAGUGAAACCUCCCUGGAAACAAUCUGCAGACUGAUCCAGCCACAUCCCUCCCAGGUGAUUCCAAAUCCAGCCAAGGUGACGAUGAAGAUGAACUCCCACAGUCUCUUCCAGAGAUAGGUCUUACUAUGUAGCUCCAGGGGACACUGAACUCUCAAUCCUCCUUCGUCAGCCUGUGGAGUGCAAGAUUGCAGGCAUCUGCCACCACACCUAACUCUUGGUUCUCUGCUGUUUGAAUCCAACCUUCUCUUCAAUCCUCCCAAGGUCCAUAUACUCCCCAAAGAAUUCGCUGUUGUGCAGUUCAGCCAGAGCCCGUUAGCGGUUUGAUAGAAAGAACUCAGACUGCUACAGCUUCCUGCUGAGCCAUCUUGCCAGCCCUUAAACAGAUUUUUUUAAAAUAUGAUACAAGUUAAUGUCAGAUAAUGUAACUUCUUAAAAAUCUGUUGCGUGUUUUUUAUCAUACUGAAUUCUGUUGUGAUCUAGUGAGUUUGAAAAGUCUAAUUUGUUGGAAUCUACAAAGAGGAGGAGGAGGUGGAAGGUGGUUCUCUUGAGGCUAACUUGGAGGGAUUAUCCUGUUUAACAAAGCUUCUUUCUGCUCCUUCUUUGAUGCCAGCAGUUGCCUGUUAACCUUUCCCGUCGGCUCCAGCUCAGUCUCUGUUGAGAAAGGCAUAGCACGCUUUAGCAUUCUCCUGAAGCAUCUGUGGGAGUGUAUUGGGAUGCUCCAGGGAGAGAAUGAGAAUCUUUAGUCUGUCAUGGCGGUAAAAAUGUUCACGAUGAGUUUCCACCACAGGAAGUGUACAGCUUGACUUAUUGCUGAUUAUAUACAUUUACUACUUAAGACAUAAAACUAUGAGCCAGGUGCGGUAGUGCAAAUCUUAAAGUCAGCACUUGGAAGGCUGAGGCAGGAGGAGUUCAAGGUCAUUCUCCGAUUCAUAGUGUGUUUGAUGCCAGCCUGGGCUACGCGAGAUCCUGUCUCAGAAAGCGAGCAAACAGGGCCUGGCGAGAUAGCUCAGCAGUUAAGAGCAUCUUUUGUUCCUGCAGAGGACCCUGGUUCAGUUCCCAGCACCCGAAUGCUAGCUGUAGUUGGAAGGGCUCCAGUGCACUCCUCUGGCCUCUGGAGGCAAUGCACACACAUGCUGUACAGAUAUGCAUGCAAGCAAAAGCUUGUACAUGUAAAAGUAAUUUUUUGAAAUUAAAAUUAAAUUUUUAAUUAAAUUAAAAAAAUUUAAAUUUAUGUAUUUAUUUAUUAUUUUUUGAGGCAGCAUUUCUCUCUGUGUAGCUCUGGCUGUCCUGGAACUUGCUUUGUAGCCCAGGCUGGCCUUGAAGUCACAGAGAUCCAUCUGCCUGCCUCUACAUCCCAAGUGCUGGAACUAAAGGUGUGAGCUACCACUCCUAGCUAAACAUUUUUUUAAGGAAUAAUAAUAAUAAAAUAACAAACACAAUCAACAAUCACCAAAGAUAAAUAAAUAAAUUAAUUAAUUAAUAAAACUGACACCAGAAAUAUGUCCCUAGCCUGAGGUUGUGAGCCAAAGCUCAAGGACUGAGGGCAGAAAGGAGAGAGCAAAUGGAGCACCAGCAUUUUCUCCUUUCUGCUUCCUAGUCCUCCAAGAUGUAAGCCGGCAGCCUCUUGCUCUGCCUAGAGUCAUGCCUCCUCUGCCAUAGGGGAACUAAGGCAUUGGUGGAAGGGAGCUCAGGGAAAAGCCAAAGUAAAUUUCCAGCCAUUUGAUCACCAAUGAGCGAUGAGGUCCCAGGUUAGUCACUGAGCCACCCUGCCCUCAUUCCCUCAGUUGCAGAACAGACUCAACAACACAAUCACUCAGAAGUUUUGGAAGAUAAACGUUUCGGCUGCACAAAGACAAACACACUGGCUAUAUAAUAAACUCUCAUAAACAUUUAGGACUCGUGUGGAAGUUGCUCGUAAGAUUAGGCAUGAAACUUUUUAAAAAUCAAAAGAUAAGUUAUGCUAAUGGCAAUCCACCCACAGAACGGAUGCUUAGUCUGCAUUCAGGAUUAGCUAGGAGCAUCUUUGAAGACAUAGCACGGCAGAUAAAACAUUCAUUCGCCCCGAGAAUCAACCAAGUUUCUCUUUCCCGACUUCUGGUAUAAACUGUGUAACAACGCACACUCUUGUUUUGUGUGAUUCUUUUUGCUUGGAUUUUAUUUAUGUUCAGUGAAUAAAU
Meriones unguiculatus (Mongolian gerbil) is the source of this 2347-nucleotide long non-coding RNA. RefSeq lists it as uncharacterized. The record is from RefSeq and is a predicted model, not a curated record. The transcript is spliced from 3 exons. NCBI's taxonomy places the organism in Eukaryota, Metazoa, Chordata, Mammalia, Rodentia, Muridae.